RNAcentral lists this ribosomal RNA (493 nucleotides) under uncultured bacterium. Its description in RNAcentral is "bacterial SSU rRNA". It matches the Rfam family "Bacterial small subunit ribosomal RNA", at positions 1 to 507 of the family's 1533-position model. The record is from RNAcentral.
UACGAGUUUGAUCAUGGCUCAGACAACGCUGGCGGCAUGCCUAACACAUGCAAGUCGAGCGGGUUUUCGGACCUAGCGGCGGACGGGUGAGUAAUGCGUAGGAAGCUACCCGAUAGAGGGGGGAUACCAGUUGGAAACGACUGUUAAUACCGCAUAAUGUCUACGGACCAAAGUNUUGGGGACCUUCGGGCCACAUGCUAUCGGAUGCGCCUACGUGGGAUUAGCUAGUUGGUGAGGUAAUGGCUCACCAAGGCGACGAUCUCUAGCNGGUUUGAGAGGAUGAUCAGCCACACUGGAACUGAGACACGGUCCAGACUCCUACGGGAGGCAGCAUGGGAAUUUUGGACAAUGGACCGCAAGUCUGAUCCAGCCAUUCCGCGUGCAGGAUGAAGGCCCUCGGGUUGUAAACUGCUUUUGUACGGAACGAAAAGGUUUCUAUUAAUACUAGGAGCUCAUGACGGUACCGUAAGAAUAAGCACCGGCUAACUACGUG